Olea europaea var. sylvestris is the source of this 1116-nucleotide long non-coding RNA. RefSeq lists it as uncharacterized. The transcript is spliced from 2 exons. The record is from RefSeq and is a predicted model, not a curated record. Lineage: Eukaryota; Viridiplantae; Streptophyta; Magnoliopsida; Lamiales; Oleaceae.
AUUUCUGUAUCGAAAAUAGUAAAAAUAGAUCUUCCAUUGUACAAUUCCAGUUUAUAAAAUCUAAAACCUCAAAACCCUAAUCCACAAACACUCUCCCUCCUUUCUUUCAAUUUCGAUUUUUGAUCCAGCCAUUUUUAACUGCAAUAUGGCUACUUCUAUUCUCCAGAAGCUCCUCAGAAACCAAUCUCAGUCCGCUACAAAAAUCAUUCAACACCUCAACAAACACCACCCGCCAUUGCCACUACCGUUUCUACUUAACCAAAUUCCUAAUCAAACUAGACUAUUGGAUCAUAUACCUUCACCGGGUCAAACUGAGCGAGCAGAGGUUUCAAAAACGGAACUCUCGGUUUCUUCAUGCGUCUACCCGAGUUUUUCUUUUGGAUUUUUCCUGAAUUCGGUUUCUUCAACCGUAACGAUUGGAUCCAGUAUCAACGAAUUCGUUUUGGAUGAUUAUCGGACGACAUGGUCUGACCCAGAUUCUUUAAUCGGGUCAAUUCGACCCGGAGAAGAUGGCAUUGUUUUGGAUGAUUCACGGGCUAUAUGGGCUGACAGUGUUAAGAAGAAGAGAAAGAGGAAGAUGAACAAGCACAAGUUGAGGAAGUUAAGAAAGCGGCUAAGGAGGAAAACGAAGACUUAGAUAGUAGUCACAUUAUUUGCUUAAUCAUCGGGCGAGGGAACCCGCAGUCGCUACUCGAAGGUGCACACUAGGUAAACCCCGCCUUGUUAUCCUAGUCGACAAAGGACCACAAGGAGGUAAACCAGCCUAGGUUACAAGAAGAACAUAUGGCUGAUGGUAGAACAACCAUGAGUUUUAUUGGAGUAUAGUCCCUCUUCAGUCUUCGGGAAUCGCCAAAUUUGUCUACAGGUUUUGCAUUUUGGUCUAGAUUCAUUAUUCAUUGCCCAAAAAAGAUGAAAUUAUCUUAUACCCGUAUCUGAGGUUCGACGGUAACAGAAAGUCAUGGUUUGACACAUACAUAAACCUUCGGUUCUGUAAAUCUAUGUUCUGAAGAUGGACACAUCACAUCAACUCACGGGAACGAGAAUGGUUUGAUUUCCAUGAGCCCUCUUUUCAAUUCUUGUUCUCAUGAUGAUAAUAUGAGCUGUUAUUUUAUAAUA